UUUUUCCAGGUGCCAUCAAGAAUGUUAUUUUAUGAGAAAAAAAAAAAAAACUGUUACACACAAUUAAAACACCUCUUUCAUAGCCAAAUGGAAAGUGGGCACAUGCAUGACAGACACAA
RNAcentral lists this small nucleolar RNA (119 nucleotides) under Castor canadensis (American beaver). RNAcentral's name for it is "Small nucleolar RNA SNORA41 (ENSCCNG00000028259.1)". Lineage: Eukaryota; Metazoa; Chordata; Mammalia; Rodentia; Castoridae. The record is from RNAcentral.